RNAcentral lists this non-coding RNA (958 nucleotides) under Assurger anzac (razorback scabbardfish). RNAcentral's name for it is "12S rRNA". It matches the Rfam family "Bacterial small subunit ribosomal RNA". Lineage: Eukaryota; Metazoa; Chordata; Actinopteri; Scombriformes; Trichiuridae. The record is from RNAcentral.
CAAAGGCUUGGUCCUGACUUUACUGUCAACUCUGACUAGACUUACACAUGCAAGUAUCCGCCUCCCUGUGAGAAUGCCCCCCCCCGUUUUAUGCCCUAAAACAAGGAGCCGGUAUCAGGCACACCCCACGUUAAGCCCAUGACGCCUUGCUAAGCCACACCCCCACGGGAACUCAGCAGUGAUAAAUCUUACAGCCAUAAGUGAAAACUUGACUUAGUUUAUAGCCAAACAGGGCCGGUAAAACUCGUGCCAGCCACCGCGGUGAUACGAGAGGCCCAAGCUGACAGCCCCCGGCGUAAAGCGUGGUUAGGGUUACACCUAGAACUAAAGCCGAACACCCCUAAAGCCGUCAUACGCAUAUAAGGGUAUGAAGCCCGCCCACGAAAGUGGCUUUAGAACUCCUGACUCCACGAAAGCUAAGAAACAAACUGGGAUUAGAUACCCCACUAUGCUUAGCCGUAAACAUAGAUAGACCAAUACAACCCCUAUCCGCCCGGACACUACGAGCGUAAGCUUAAAAUCCAAAGGACUUGGCGGUUCGUUAGAUCCCUCUAGAGGAGCCUGUUCUGUAACCGAUAAUCCCCGUUUAACCUCACCCCCCCUUGCUUAUUCAGCCUAUAUACCACCGUCGCCAGUUUACCCUGUGAAGGACCAAUAGUAAUCAAAAUCGGCACCACCCAGAACGUCAGGUCGAGGUGUAGCAUAUGGGGGGGGAAGAAAUGGGCUACAUUCGCUAGCAUAGCGCACACGAAUGACGCAUUGAAAUCAUGCGUUCUGAAGGAGGAUUUAGCAGUAAGCAGCAAAUAGAGCGUGCCGCUGAAGCGGGCUCUGAAGAGCGCACACACCGCCCGUCACUCUCCCCGAACAACCAAUAAUCGUAUAUAUAAAACGCUAUGCCUGUAAAGGGGAGGCAAGUCGUAACAUGGUAAGUGUACCUGAAGGUGCACUUGGCAAAAAU